CCCCCGGGUGGCAGGAGCAGCUCCUUCCCAGACACUUGCCUUCAUCCUCCUGUCUCUCUGACGGCCGCAGAUGAAGGACAAACAGGCUUUAUGGAAGCGACCACAGGUGACAGCCCUCCUCCUACCACCGUCCGCCAACACCGGCACGUCCUCCCUGCUUCGACAUUUACGUUUUUCUCUCUGGGCUGGCUUCGCUAUCCCUCCCAGGGACCAGUCAUCCAUUUCCGCCGCCACCUCUCCUCCCCGCAGUUGCAGAUCGGCUUCUCCAGAAGACAAGCCUGGCCUCCCCUCUCAGACAUGGCCUCGGUGGCGUAGGGAAGUCCUGGUCGGGGAGCCCCCACAGAGCUGGUCCUGGGGUGCCAGGCUCCUCCAAGCUUAACAGCCUUACGGUCGGGAAGAGGAGGGCGUCCUUCCUCCCAGCGCCUAGUGCGGAAGACGCUGGUGGGCGUGGCCUGGGUCACGUGUCCAGGCGGAGGGGGCGCGGUCACGUGGCCCGAAAGAGGGUCUGUCCACAGGCAAAACUACACGUCCCGAGUCAGAGGACGACCAGUCCUCCAAAAGAAGAGGGGCGAUAUUCUGAAUGAACAAAACAAUAUUCACUCUAGGCUCGCUCAAGAAAAGCUAGAAAAUAAAAGGAAAAAAAGCACACUGUUUUCUUAUACAGCUUUAGCUAUUUUUAACACUUUUCCUUCUACCCUUCAAUUUUUCUCUGUGAAUGUAUCUAAAUGUUUACACAUUUCCAUAUGUAUGUGUGCACAUGUAUGAGGGUUAUACUGGAUAUUCUGUUUUCAAACCUGAUUCUUUUAUUUGAUGUACCUUGAAAAUCUUUUCAUGCCAAUAUUUAUAGGGCAUUGCUCUU
Long non-coding RNA from Mustela erminea (ermine), 859 nucleotides. RefSeq lists it as uncharacterized. Lineage: Eukaryota; Metazoa; Chordata; Mammalia; Carnivora; Mustelidae. The transcript is spliced from 3 exons. The record is from RefSeq and is a predicted model, not a curated record.